ACCGUAGGUGGCAAGCGUUGUCCGGAAUUACUGGGUGUAAAGGGAGUGCAGGCGGGACGGCAAGUUGGAAGUGAAACCCAUGGGCUUAACCCAUGAACUGCUUUCAAAACUGCCGGUCUUGAGUGGUGCAGAGGUAGGCGGAAUUCCCGGUGUAGCGGUGGAAUGCGUAGAUAUCGGGAGGAACACCAGUGGCGAAGGCGGCCUACUGGGCACUAACUGACGCUGAGGCUCGAAAGCAUGGGUAGCAAACAGG
Molecule: ribosomal RNA, 253 nt
Filed under: uncultured bacterium
Lineage: Bacteria
Description: partial 16S ribosomal RNA
Rfam family: Bacterial small subunit ribosomal RNA
Source: RNAcentral